Molecule: ribosomal RNA, 459 nt
Filed under: uncultured bacterium
Lineage: Bacteria
Description: partial 16S ribosomal RNA
Rfam family: Bacterial small subunit ribosomal RNA
Source: RNAcentral
CCUACGGGUGGCAGCAGUGAGGAAUAUUGGUCAAUGGACGGGAGUCUGAACCAGCCAAGCCGCGUGCGGGAGGACGGCUCUAUGAGUUGUAAACCUCUUUUGUCCGGGGGCAAACACCGGGACGCGUAUCUGUCUGAGAGUAUCUUAAGAAUAAGCAUCGGCUAACUCCGUGCCAGCAGCCGCGGUAAUACGGAGGAUUCAAGCGUUAUCCGGAUUUAUUGGGUUUAAAGGGUGCGCAGGCGGGAGAUCAAGUCAGCGGUAAAAUGGCGGGGCUCAACCCCGGCCGGCCGUUGAAACUGGUUUUCUAGAGUGGGCGAGAAGUAUGCGGAAUUCGUGGUGUAGCGGUGAAAUGCAUAGAUAUCACGAAGAACUCCGAUUGCGAAGGCAGCAUACCGGCUCCAUACUGACGCUGAGGCACGAAAGCGUGGGGAUCGAACAGGAUUAGAUACCCUGGUAGUC